UCGAGAAUUAUUCGCAAUGAGCGCAAGCUUGACGAUGCGACGCCGCGUGAGCGAUGAAGGCCUGCGGGUUGUAAAGCUCUUUCAGCUGGAAACAAGAGAGCAGGGUUAAUAACCCAUGCUCUUUGAGCUAUACAGAAAAAGAAGUACCGGCUAACUCCGUGCCAGCAGCUGCGGUAAUACGGAGGGUACAAGCAUUAAUCGGAUUUAUUGGGCGUAAAGGGCGCGUAGGCGGAAGAUUUAAGUCAUCUGUGAAAGCAAAGAGCUCAACUCUUUAUCCGCAGGUGAAACUAUUCAUCUCGAGUACGAACGGAGAAAACAGAAUUCUGCAUGGAGCAGUGAAAUGCAUAGAUAUGCAGAGGAAUACCUUGGGCGAAAGCGGUUUUCUAGUUCGUUACUGACGCUAAGGCGCGAAGGCAAGGGGAGCAAACAGGAUUAGAUACCCCCGUAGUCC
Molecule: ribosomal RNA, 451 nt
Filed under: uncultured prokaryote
Description: bacterial SSU rRNA
Rfam family: Bacterial small subunit ribosomal RNA
Source: RNAcentral